AAUGAACGUUGGCGGCGUGGAUUAGGCAUGCAAGUCGCGCGACAAGUCUCUUUUAGCUUGCUAUUUGAGACAGAGGAGCGGCGAAAGGGUGAGUAACGCGUGGAUACCUGCCCCUAGGCCCGGGAUAGCGUCGGGAAACUGGCGGUAAUACCGGAUAAUAUCCCUGGAUCAAAGGUGUGAUUCCGCCUAGGGAUGGGUCCGCGUCCUAUUAGCUUGUUGGUGGGGUAAAAGCCUACCAAGGCCAAGAUGGGUACCGGGUGUGAGAGCAUGGCCCGGCACACUGGGACUGAGACACUGCCCAGACACCUACGGGUGGCUGCAGUCGAGAAUCUUCCGCAAUGGGCGCAAGCCUGACGGAGCGACGCCGCGUGCGGGAUGAAGGCCCUCGGGUUGUAAACCGCUGUCAGUGAGGAGCAAAUCUCUAGGAGUAAUCUUCUAGAGUUGAGCGAUUCGCAGAGGAAGCGCAGGCUAAGUUCGUGCCAGCCGCCGCAGUAACAC
RNAcentral lists this ribosomal RNA (498 nucleotides) under uncultured bacterium. RNAcentral's name for it is "bacterial SSU rRNA". It matches the Rfam family "Bacterial small subunit ribosomal RNA", at positions 29 to 526 of the family's 1533-position model. The record is from RNAcentral.